UUGGGCGUAAAGCGAGCGCAGGCGGUUUUUUAAGUCUGAUGUGAAAGCCUUCGGCUCAACCGAAGAAGUGCAUCGGAAACUGGGAAACUUGAGUGCAGAAGAGGACAGUGGAACUCCAUGUGUAGCGGUGAAAUGCGUAGAUAUAUGGAAGAACACCAGUGGCGAAGGCGGCUGUCUGGUCUGUAACUGACGCUGAGGCUCGAAAGUAUGGGUAGCAAACAGGAUUAGAUACCCUGGUAGUCCAUACCGUAAACGAUGAAUGCUAAGUGUUGGAGGGUUUCCGCCCUUCAGUGCUGCAGCUAACGCAUUAAGCAUUCCGCCUGGGGAGUACGGCCGCAAGGCUGAAACUCAAAGGAAUUGACGGGGGCCCGCACAAGCGGUGGAGCAUGUGGUUUAAUUCGAAGCUACGCGAAGAACCUUACCAGGUCUUGACAUACUAUGCAAAUCUAAGAGAUUAGACGUUCCCUUCGGGGACAUGGAUACAGGUGGUGCAUGGUUGUCGUCAGCUCGUGUCGUGAGAUGUUGGGUUAAGUCCCGCAACGAGCGCAACCCUUAUUAUCAGUUGCCAGCAUUAAGUUGGGCACUCUGGUGAGACUGCCGGUGACAAACCGGAGGAAGGUGGGGAUGACGUCAAAUCAUCAUGCCCCUUAUGACCUGGGCUACACACGUGCUACAAUGGAUGGUACAACGAGUUGCGAACUCGCGAGAGUAAGCUAAUCUCUUAAAGCCAUUCUCAGUUCGGAUUGUAGGCUGCAACUCGCCUACAUGAAGUCGGAAUCGCUAGUAAUCGCGGAUCAGCAUGCCGCGGUGAAUACGUUCCCGGGCCUUGUACACACCGCCCG
Molecule: ribosomal RNA, 842 nt
Filed under: Lactiplantibacillus plantarum
Lineage: Bacteria; Bacillati; Bacillota; Bacilli; Lactobacillales; Lactobacillaceae
Description: bacterial SSU rRNA
Rfam family: Bacterial small subunit ribosomal RNA
Source: RNAcentral